UCUGAGGUGGCUCAGUGGUAAAGAAUCUGCCUGCCAAUGCAGGAGAUGUGAGUUCGAGCCCCAGUUCUGGAA
Molecule: transfer RNA, 72 nt
Filed under: Haemonchus contortus (barber pole worm)
Lineage: Eukaryota; Metazoa; Nematoda; Chromadorea; Rhabditida; Trichostrongylidae
Description: tRNA, Pseudo
Source: RNAcentral